UACAAAGCUGAUUUCGAGUUG
Molecule: non-coding RNA, 21 nt
Organism: Caenorhabditis elegans
Lineage: Eukaryota; Metazoa; Nematoda; Chromadorea; Rhabditida; Rhabditidae
Source: Ensembl